AGGACAGUGGAACUCCAUGUGUAGCGGUGAAAUGCGUAGAUAUAUGGAAGAACACCAGUGGCGAAGGCGGCUGUCUGGUCUGUAACUGACGCUGAGGCUCGAAAGUAUGGGUAGCAAACAGGAUUAUAUACCCUGGUAGUCCAUACCGUAAACGAUGAAUGCUAAGUGUUGGAGGGUUUCCCCCUUCAGUGCUGCAGCUAACGCAUUAAGCAUUCCGCCCGGGGAGUACGGCCGCAAGGCUGAAACUCAAAGGAAUUGACGGGGGCCCGCACAAGCGGUGGAGCAUGUGGUUUAAUUCGAAGCUACGCGAAGAACCUUACCAGGUCUUGACAUACUAUGCAAAUCUAAGAGAUUAGACGUUCCCUUCGGGGACAUGGAUACAGGUGGUGCAUGGUUGUCGUCAGCUCGUGUCGUGAGAUGUUGGGUUAAGUCCCGCAACGAGCGCAACCCUUAUUAUCAGUUGCCAGCAUUAAGUUGGGCACUCUGGUGAGACUGCCGGUGACAAACCGGAGGAAGGUGGGGAUGACGUCAAAUCAUCAUGCCCCUUAUGACCUGGGCUACACACGUGCUACAAUGGAUGGUACAACGAGUUGCGAACUCGCGAGAGUAAGCUAAUCUCUUAAAGCCAUUCUCAGUUCGGAUUGUAGGCUGCAACUCGCCUACAUGAAGUCGGAAUCGCUAGUAAUCGCGGAUCAGCAUGCCGCGGUGAAUACGUUCCCGGGCCUUGUACACACCGCCCGUCACACCAUGAGAGUUUGUAACACCCAAAGUCGGUGGGGUAACCUUUAGGAACCAGCCGCCUAAGGUGGGACAGAUGAUUAGGGUGAAGUCGUAACAAGGUAACCAAGGGCGAA
Molecule: ribosomal RNA, 854 nt
Filed under: uncultured Lactobacillus sp.
Lineage: Bacteria; Bacillati; Bacillota; Bacilli; Lactobacillales; Lactobacillaceae
Description: bacterial SSU rRNA
Rfam family: Bacterial small subunit ribosomal RNA
Source: RNAcentral